RNAcentral lists this transfer RNA (74 nucleotides) under Caldifarciminota bacterium. RNAcentral's name for it is "tRNA-Ile". It matches the Rfam family "tRNA". From Rfam's summary of the family: Transfer RNA (tRNA) molecules are approximately 80 nucleotides in length. Their secondary structure includes four short double-helical elements and three loops (D, anti-codon, and T loops). The record is from RNAcentral. Lineage: Bacteria; Pseudomonadati; Caldifarciminota.
GGGCCCGUAGCUCAGAUAGGCAGAGCAGCUGACUCAUAAUCAGUAGGUCGCCCGUUCAACCCGGGCCGGGCCCA